This is a non-coding RNA of Nicotiana tabacum (common tobacco), 2635 nucleotides long. NCBI's taxonomy places the organism in Eukaryota, Viridiplantae, Streptophyta, Magnoliopsida, Solanales, Solanaceae. The record is from RefSeq and is a predicted model, not a curated record.
AAGAGGGAAAAAAAUGCAGCAGUAUCGCGGAAGUCUAAAACCAAGUACCUGAAACUUGGCCAUAUGAAAUUUUCAUUUCCACUUUCUUCCUCGCUUAGGUUUUCGCAGCUCAUCAUUUGAUUUGAUCGUACUUCUUCCUCGCCGUUUCCAGAUCAUAAGCUUUUGCGAUUGCCGAAAUGUGAGCAGUUCACUUCACAGCUGCAGGAAAUGGAAGCAGCUGUAGUGGAUGGAAAUGGAACUAAAACAGGUCACAUCAUUGUGACAACUAUUGGGGGAAAGAAUGGUCAGCCUAAUUACAUGGCAGUGCGAGUUGUUGGACAGGCUUCCUUUGGAAUUGUGUUCCAGGCCAAAUGCCUUGAAUCAGGAGAAACUGUGGCAAUAAAAAAGGUAAACCCCCACACACAUCAGCUUAAGCUCAUCGAUUUUGGAAGUGCAAAAGUCCUGCCUCUCUUUCCUGGUGAGAUUGGUGUUGAUCAACUUGUUGAAAUAAUCAAGGUUCUUGGAACACCAACACGUGAGGAAAUCAAGUGCAUGAAUCCAAAUUACACAGAGUUCAAGUUCCCUCAAAUCAAAGCUCACCCCUGGCGCAAAGGAAGAAUUCUGAUCUAUAUUCCUAAAUAGAAUAUAAAUUUCUAAUGCAUUGCAUCACAUCUAAAAACUCAUGGCCGCAAUCUUGCGUUGCAUAGAUUUUUCAUAAUCGGAUGCCUCCUGAAGCUGUGGAUCUUGUAUCAAGGCUUCUCCAGUAUUCUCCAAAUCUGAGGUGCACUUCGGUACAAUGGCGCCAUCCAAGAAACGAAAAACCACAGGCGCCUCCACAAGUGGUCAAGCGGGCACCUCCCGGUCACGAGCUUCGGCAUUUGCUCGCCCGUAUGAUCUAAACAAGUUCGUCUCCUGGGAAGCCCAGGAACGAUUCCAACACAAGGCAAGCAAGAAGCCCAUACCGAAGAAGGGAAUUGAUAUUGGGUCUCUGUAGACUGACUGUCCUAGAGUGUAUAAUGAAUUGGUCAGGCGAGGCUUGGGGGUAUUCUUUGAAGAACCUGAUGAGACAAACUUAAUGGUUGUUUGGGAGUAUUAUGCAAUUUUCCCGGACCAUGACAACCAUGUCUGCACAGUCCGGAGAAAGAGAGUAGACUUCUCCAAAGAGGCCAUCCGAAGGGCCUAUCAUUUUUCGGAGUAUGUGGAAGACCCUAAUACAGGUGACUACUACGCCACGCACCGCGGAGAACCAUACCUGUGGCGCCUGCUCUUUGCAACCAUUUGUGUACCUGGGAAGGAGGUAGUAUGGAUAAAGGAAGGGCACAAGUUUCACUCGACUUCGCUUACCUUUGAAGGAAAAUGCUGAUUGUACCUCAUUAAUAACUGCAUGUUGCCUUCAGGCAACACCACUGAGGUGAAUGGUCCCCGGGCUGCUAUGAUUUGGUGUUUCGUCAAUGGACACGAUUUUGAUGUGGCUCAGGUAAUUCAAGACGAGAUGACCACUCGGUGUCCUGUGCAGAAGUAUGGGUUCUUCUUCCCUCAUUAGUAACUCGGUUAUGUAGUGAGGCACGGGUGAUGGAAAACAGGGCCAUGGAUGGGAAGGUCAAGCGCGAACAAACAAUCUAGGCUAAUAAAGUUAUAAUUAGGAAGGAACCUGCUGGACCUGCUGAGGCAGAUAGUGAGAAAUCUGAUGCGCCUGACGAGGGUAAUGAGGGGCACGGUGAGGCUGUUGUUGCUUCUCAACCGCAUGAGCCGGGUGUUGGGGAAACUUCACGUUGUGGAUGUGACACGAGAAUGAGCGCUUUAGAGUAGGAGAUGGCGGGGAUGCAUACUUCCGUCACUGAUUUGGGUACUUGAGUGGACGCCUUGGCCAUACAAAAUGCCAAAUCCGAGAAGAAGAUCAUGGCAUAGCUACGUGCACUUGGCAGGGCUUGUAAUCUAGACCCCGGAACCGUCUCCGACACGGACUGACUUGAUCAGGGGAGUUUUCUUCACCUUUGCAUUUUUCUUUGUGUGUCAUGGGGACAUUCCACCAUUUAAAGUGUGGGGUGGGGAAUAUUUGUAUGUUGUAUGUAUAUGAGUUUUGUUUCUGGUAGUUAUAGUUUGUUGUGUUAGUUGCAGUAGUUAGUAAUAGAUGAAAAAACAAAAAUACAUAAAAAAUUUAAAAUAUUCGAUUUCUCCCGACGAUGGAUACCAUUCGACGGAUUUAUUGAGGGAUUAAAGUCGAAAGAAAAAGACAAAAAUAUUCUCUUGUUAGGUAGUGUAUUAAUUCUCCCUUGGUUUUUCUUUAUGCUGCGGUUCUUUUCCAAGGGUUUUGAUUGAACCGGGUGUAGUUAGUUUUAUUUUUUUUCUGUUAGGAGUAGGUACCCUUAGCUCUGAUCUGAAAGGAAAGCAACAUCUUUGGACUAUGUUAUGCCUUGAGAAUAGUGAGUGCUCUAGCUGUGACGCUUAAGCUCAGUUUUUUACUCUCGUAGAAGUACCUUAAAUUAUAUGUUCUUGACUUUGCUUAACUGUUUUGACUGGAGUGUCUUGAUGAGUCCGAUCUUGAGUGAACAUGUGCCGUGUGUGGGUGAGGUUUUGUAUUAUUCUGUGCAUUGCAUUUGAUGUCUAGAACUUGCCCUGUGUGUUUGAAAAGCAAAAUAGUAGUUAUUCUGUCUUG